RNAcentral lists this ribosomal RNA (491 nucleotides) under uncultured bacterium. Its description in RNAcentral is "partial 16S ribosomal RNA". It matches the Rfam family "Bacterial small subunit ribosomal RNA", at positions 30 to 508 of the family's 1533-position model. The record is from RNAcentral.
AUUGAACGCUGGCGGCAGGCCUAACACAUGCAAGUCGAACGGUAACAGGAAGCAGCUUGCUGCUUCGCUGACGAGUGGCGGACGGGUGAGUAAUGUCUGGGAAGCUGCCUGAUGGAGGGGGAUAACUACUGGAAACGGUAGCUAAUACCGCAUAAUGUCGCAAGACCAAAGAGGGGGACCUUCGGGCCCCUUGCCAUCGGAUGUGCCCAGAUGGGAUUAGCUUGUUGGUGGGGUAACGGCUCACCAAGGCGACGAUCCCUAGCUGGUCUGAGAGGAUGACCAGCCACACUGGAACUGAGACACGGUCCAGACUCCUACAGGAGGCAGCAGUGGGGAAUAUUGCACAAUGGGCGCAAGCCUGAUGCAGCCAUGCCGCGUGUAUGAAGAAGGCCUUCGGGUUGUAAAGUACUUUCAGCGGGGAGGAAGGGAGUAAAGUUAAUACCUUUGCUCAUUGACGUUACCCGCAGAAGAAGCGCCGGCUAACUCCGUGC